Molecule: ribosomal RNA, 793 nt
Filed under: uncultured bacterium
Lineage: Bacteria
Description: bacterial SSU rRNA
Rfam family: Bacterial small subunit ribosomal RNA
Source: RNAcentral
AUUUAUUGGGCGUAAAGCGAGCGCAGGCGGUUCUUUAAGUCUGAUGUGAAAGCCCCUGGCUUAACCAGGGAGGGUCAUUGGAAACUGGAGAACUUGAGUGCAGAAGAGGAAAGCGGAAUUCCAUGUGUAGCGGUGAAAUGCGUAGAUAUAUGGAGGAACACCAGUGGCGAAGGCGACUUUCUGGUCUGUAACUGACGCUGAGGCUCGAAAGCAUGGGGAGCGAACAGGAUUAGAUACCCUGGUAGUCCAUGCCGUAAACGAUGAGUGCUAAGUGUUGGAGGGUUUCCGCCCUUCAGUGCUGCAGUUAACGCAUUAAGCACUCCGCCUGGGGAGUACGACCGCAAGGUUGAAACUCAAAGGAAUUGACGGGGGCCCGCACAAGCGGUGGAGCAUGUGGUUUAAUUCGAAGCAACGCGAAGAACCUUACCAGGUCUUGACAUCCUUUGACCACUCUAGAGAUAGAGCUUUCCCUUCGGGGACAAAGUGACAGGUGGUGCAUGGUUGUCGUCAGCUCGUGUCGUGAGAUGUUGGGUUAAGUCCCGCAACGAGCGCAACCCUUAUUAUUAGUUGCCAGCAUUCAGUUGGGCACUCUAGUGAGACUGCCGGUGAUAAACCGGAGGAAGGUGGGGAUGACGUCAAAUCAUCAUGCCCCUUAUGACCUGGGCUACACACGUGCUACAAUGGAUGGUACAACGAGUCGCUAAACCGUGAGGUCAAGCUAAUCUCUGAAAGCCAUUCUCAGUUCGGAUCGCAGGCUGCAAUUCGCCUGCGUGAAGCCGGAAUCGCUAGUAAU